CUGGCAACGGCUGACAAUUAAAGGCAGCGGAUUGGACAGUGGGGAGGACACAGAAUUCCAAGGAGCCCCUCCCUUCCAGCUGCCAGGGCUGUGCUCAUACACGAGCCCCCCCCCCCCCAGGGGCUUCAGAAAGUCCCCACCGUCAUAUGAGGACCUCCCACUCACUCAUCCACCACCCCCAAAGCCUGUGCACCCUCGGGCUCAUCCCAACAACCACUUUCCCCCAAAAAUUCACUGGGGACUGGAACAAAACACGGCCCAUCAGAAGCUGUUACUGGACACCACUGAUAGACACGUGGUAGCUAACCGAGAGCUGCUGACCGGCUGAAUCCCAUGAGCACAACGCGUUCCCAGCUCAGGCCCCAGCACCUCAGAUCUGAACUGCACUCACUCAAGGACAGCACCAAAGUGCCUGCAAACCUCCCAUCAUCACAAGGACAUUUCUGCACAUGUGUCUUG
Molecule: long non-coding RNA, 459 nt
Filed under: Heterocephalus glaber (naked mole-rat)
Lineage: Eukaryota; Metazoa; Chordata; Mammalia; Rodentia; Bathyergidae
Description: lncRNA (ENSHGLG00000034831.1)
Source: RNAcentral